AGAGGAUGAGAUGGCUGGAUGGCAUCACUGACUCGAUGGACGUGAGUCUGAGUGAACUCCAGGUUUCCAGAUUGUGGUGAGCCGUAUCCUCGGCUGGUGGACCUGAAUUUAGCUGGCGAUCCUACUGAAGGAGCCUCAGUGGUAGUGCAGAGGGACUAUGGCUUUUGGUGUCCCUGAGAGUUGAAAAUUGAUCCUGAUCUUGGCUGUUACUUUUUGCAAGUGCAUGAUUGUUCACCUCCUUGUCCAAAUAUGUACUUUAGGAGAGAAGAGCUUUCAUUUGCUCAGUAUUUCAUAGGAUUGAUUUCAAUCAUUUGCCUCUCUGCCACGUUGUUUACUUUUUUAACUUUUUUGAUUGAUGUGGUAAGAUUCUGUUAUCCUGAAAGACCCAUUAUAAUUUAUGCCACUGCUACAUGAUGGAGUCAUUAAUUUUCUUUAUUUGGUUUUUGCUUGAGGACCGAGUCGCCUGCAAUGCAUCCAGCCCUGCACAGUAUCAGGCUUCCACAGUGACCCAAGGAUCUCAUAACAAAGCCUGUAUCAUGCUUUUUAUGAUACUCUAUUUUUUUACUAUGGCUGGCAGCGUUUGGUGGGUGAUUCUUACCAUCACGUGGUUCUAGGCAGCUGUGCCAAAGUGGGGUAGUAAAGCUAUUGAGAAGAAAUCCUUGCUGUUUCAUGCCAGUGCGUGGGGCAUCCCUGGAAUGCUGACCAUCAUCCUUUUAGCGAUGAAUAAAAUUGAAGGUGACAGUA
Molecule: long non-coding RNA, 744 nt
Organism: Bubalus bubalis (water buffalo)
Lineage: Eukaryota; Metazoa; Chordata; Mammalia; Artiodactyla; Bovidae
Exons: 2
Source: RefSeq, a predicted model, not a curated record